This 73-nucleotide transfer RNA is filed under the name Paramuricea clavata. It matches the Rfam family "tRNA". Rfam says of the family: Transfer RNA (tRNA) molecules are approximately 80 nucleotides in length. Their secondary structure includes four short double-helical elements and three loops (D, anti-codon, and T loops). Lineage: Eukaryota; Metazoa; Cnidaria; Anthozoa; Malacalcyonacea; Plexauridae. The record is from Rfam by way of RNAcentral.
GCCUCGGUAGCUCAGUUGGUUAGAGCGCUGCACCGGAAUCGCAGGGCCGUAGGUUCAAUUCCUACCAGAGGAC